GAAUCUUUAAAAAAAGAUUUAGCAAGAAAUGACAGAAAUGAAUUCAUUUCAGUGAAAACCAAAAAUGAAUAGCAAUGAACAAAAGAAAAAGCUCAGACAGGAUAUGAAAAAACUCUUGAAGACAUUUCUUCUGCCUUCUCUGCAAACAGGCUCAUUCUCCUUUCACAGAUAAUCUUCCUCUUCUCCCUCCUCCAGAGGAUAGAAAAUUAUCCCCUGCCUUCCAAGCCUACACAGCACAUAUAAAUUCCCUACCAUUUAUCUGGAUAGACUGCAGGGGAAACCCUGAGACUCAAUUUCCAGGGGACAUAAUCUGAUUGUUCCACCCCACUUCAGGUGUUCACCUGGUCCAAUCAGUUACAAGCAUGGAAUUUAUGUGGUCACUUAUUUUAAAUAUGGCUGUCUGGGGCACACCUCUAUGAACUGGGGUGAUUUGUAUGGAAAAGAAGAGAUGAACAUAUGCAACUACUGGCAUUCGAGUAGGCUACAUUCUCUAAAACUUGUCACUAUUUAAAUGAAGACAUUUUUCCUGCAUGUUCCACUCCUUCGUGUCAGAUCUCAGCACCAUUUCUCCUGCUAACUAGUUUAGCUGGAAAUUUCUCCUUUUGAAGGAUAGACAAUAGGUAACCAUAGCAACUGGUUGUACAGGUAAUUGCUAUGAAACAUUGCCCAGGGGUUAGAAAGCCAUGGAGACACUCAUCCCUACAUUCAGCUAAGGCAUCAGUUCACAACCAAGCUGUCCACCAUUUCUGGAAGUGGGCUGAUGAGGAAAGACACAGGUUCGCCACCAUCAUCUUCAGAUGCAAUAAGACACCAACCUCUCGAAUGCAAUUAGUCCAUUCCCCAGGGGUCCAGCCAGCACUUUAGGCAUCCCAGAAUCCUUCAGCUCCUGAUGAUCUCCCUCUUCACUCAUUCACUCUUCCCUGGAAACUCCAAACAUGGGACAAUAUUCCUCUCUCUCCUCCUCCUCCUCCUCAGUUUUAAAGAAACAUAGCCUUGGAAUGGCUUACUUUAGAAUUUCUAGGAUAAAGAAACAGACAUAAUCCAGGGACUUAUGGGUUCAUGUCUUUUAGCAUUAGGGUUUGGGAAACAGCUCAGUGAUAAGCCCAUGAGUCCUAUUGCCAGGCUGCCUAAGUUAAAAGCCCAGAUGUCUCACUUAUAUUUCUGCCUUCAGCAUGUCGUGAACCUCUCUGGGCUUCCGUUUCCUUGUUGAAUUGUGACAGUUAAAUGAGCUGAUGCACCUAAAAUGCUGAGAGCUAUGUAAUUCAUUGCCAUUGUUAUUACCACUAUUAUAAUAAAAAAAAAAAAUCUAACCUGAAGGGCA
RNAcentral lists this long non-coding RNA (1321 nucleotides) under Oryctolagus cuniculus (rabbit). Its description in RNAcentral is "lncRNA (ENSOCUG00000033124.1)". The record is from RNAcentral. Lineage: Eukaryota; Metazoa; Chordata; Mammalia; Lagomorpha; Leporidae.